This 1089-nucleotide ribosomal RNA is filed under the name uncultured eukaryote. RNAcentral describes it as "bacterial SSU rRNA". It matches the Rfam family "Eukaryotic small subunit ribosomal RNA", at positions 1 to 1118 of the family's 1831-position model. The record is from RNAcentral.
UACCUGGAUGAUUCUGCCCUUUUUCAGAUGCAUUGUCUCAUAAAUUAACCCAUGCCUGUCUAAGUAUAAACACGCUUAUACUGUGAAACUGCGAAUGGCUCAUUAAGCCAUUCAAUCAGAAGUAACGACAGGCGGUGUGCUACAUGGAUAACUGUGGUAACUCUACGCAAGCUGAUGACUCACGCUUACCCCGACUUCUGGAAUGAGAGUAUUUAUUACAUAAAAAUCAACACUGUUGGAGAAUCAUGAUAACUACUACGAUCUCAUGGCCUACUGCUGGCAGAUACUUCAUUCUCAUAUCUGCCCUAUCAACUGUCGAUGGUAAGAUAGAGGCCUACCAUGGAUGCAACUUGUAACGGACAAUAAUGGUUCGAUUCCCGAUAGGGAGUCUGAGAAACCGCUACCACAUCCUAGGAAAGUGGCAUGUUCACAAAUUACCCGACCCCGACACUGUCAGAUAUUGACAAUAUGUUACAUCCUACGGCUUUAACGUCGCAUAAUUGGAAUGACUACAAUUUAAAUCCCAUAUCUAGGAACGACUGUACGGCAAAUCUGGUGACAUCAUCAGCUUCUAACUCCAGCUACCAUAUCGUAUAUCAAAGUUGUUGCAUGUAAAAAGCUCUUAGUUGGACCCUGUAACUGUACGGCCUGUCACCCUCACGGCGUGUACUGUCUUGCCUGGGAUUUCCUCUUAGGGAUCUGAUGAUUCAGCAACAUGAAAUCAACACAUUUACUUUCAAGAAAUUAUACUGUUCAGAGCACGAUCGACUCUAGACUAUAUCAACAUGCAAUACUACAAUACGACGUGCGGAUCAAUUCCGUUGGAUAUGCUAUCGCCAUAAUGAUCAUCACGGACUCUCGGAAGCUCUCGUCCUCACGUGCAAUACGAGUACAUCUUAGAGUCUGUGUAGACUAUCAUCUGCAAACGCAUAUGCCAAGAUGUUAUCGUUACUCCAGAUCGAAUGUACGAGAUCGAAUAUUCUGACAUCCAGUCGAGUCUUAACCUCUAACUAUGUCAACUAGAGAUCGUGCGAUGCUAGCUUCUUAACUCCAUAUGCACUUACGAAAGUCCAGCUUUUUGGUUCCGGG